UCGUUUAAAGCCAUUACGUCAGCAUCCUUAGCGAACCGCUGGCUUGCCUGUUCCGGUGCCUGCCGCUCCCGCGUCCGCUAGCACGCUAUCGAACGAGGGUGGCCGAGCAGGGUUCGGUGCCGCGCCCCCGAGGGGGGUGUCCGCUGCAAUCCUCAGUCCCGCGCAGCUCAUCUGCCCGGUCUAUAACACUCCCCGAAGAGAGUUACCUUACCCGAGCCUUUUCAC
Molecule: ribosomal RNA, 225 nt
Filed under: uncultured Glomeromycotina
Lineage: Eukaryota; Fungi; Glomeromycota
Description: partial 28S ribosomal RNA
Source: RNAcentral